RNAcentral lists this ribosomal RNA (90 nucleotides) under Gallibacterium anatis. The record is from RNAcentral. Lineage: Bacteria; Pseudomonadati; Pseudomonadota; Gammaproteobacteria; Pasteurellales; Pasteurellaceae.
CAAUAGCACCACCUGACCCCAUGCCGAACUCAGAAGUGAAAUGUUGUCAUGCCGAUGGUAGUGUGGGGAUUCCCCAUGUGAGAGUAGGUC